Anser cygnoides (Swan goose) is the source of this 2100-nucleotide long non-coding RNA. The record is from Ensembl. Lineage: Eukaryota; Metazoa; Chordata; Aves; Anseriformes; Anatidae.
CCCCAAAAGGAGCUGGCUGCCCCUCAGGAGGCUGGAGACAUGGGGGACCAGCCCUGCCCACUGGGCAGCAGGGAUCCAAAAAGCCACCUCCGCAAGGUGCUGAAGGAGCUGUCGCUGCUCAGGCUGUUGAAGCGCACGAACCGCAGGAUCCUGCGGCUGCACGCCGUGGCCGUGCAGUGCUGGCACUCGCUCACGGCACAGAGGCUGCCCGGCCUCCUGCCGGUCCCUCCCAGGUAGGUCGGGGGGCAGAGGGGCCCCGCACCCCCAGCCCUGCUUGUCUGCCACGCGAAGGCACAAAUUUGGAGGGGUGAGGAUGACCUAAAGGGGGAUAAACCGCAGGGAUGUGAAUCAGAGGUGGGUUUGGGCUGGUCUGGGAGGGUGCCAGAUUCAGCCGUACCGAAGGUUUCUGGGCUCAGGGCCAGCUACUGCAGCCCAUGGUGGCUCAGGCCACUGCAGCCCAUGGUGGCCUGGCACAGGCACGUCCCUGUGCUCCAGAGCCUCUCCCUCCGUGCUCCCUCCCUGCGCGCUGUUUGAUGGGGCCGCGCUGAGCCAUGCCCUGGUGCUGGCUGGGCUGCCCAGGGCAGGACAAAUGCGCCCUUCUUCUUCUUGGAUUUGGGCGCAGGAUGUGCCACGUCACACCAAAGCCACAGGAGGUCACGGAGGAGGCCGUCGGCAGCCCGGCGACCGACGCCACCAGCAGCAAGGACCCCGAGACGGGGACCCCGCUGGGGGACCCCCAGCCGCUCGCCAAGAACUGGGGGGCUGGCGAGGCCAAGAAGGACAUGCUGGGGACCCUGCCCCAGCGCUUCCACUUGCCAGCCCCCAAAGUGCUCUGCCGGCCGUCGGCCCAGCGCUGGGUCAAACCCUGCUGCACCCGCUCCUGCGGCGAGAGCCUGGAGCAGGUGCUCACCAUCCGCUACCCACAGUGAGGGCGAGGCGCCGCUGCCGUCGGGCUGCCGGAGGUUCGGGGCUGGGAGGAGCAGGAGGUGAGCUUCCAAGAGGAGGUCUGUGGGGCGAUGCACCGAGCCAUUGUGCUGUGAAUAAAGGGAGCGAGCUGUGUCUCCUGACCCAGACGUUCUGCCCGAGAGUUGUGUUUGGUUCGGCGUCCCGCUGUGUUUGCAGGUCGGUGGGUUCCACUUGCUUUGGAUUCGAGGGGCUGAAGAUGUCGGGGGUGAUGCCUGCGUACAGAGGGGCUGGAAAUCUUUCCUCCAUGCACCCCAUCACCAGGCACCAGGGAAAGCUAUGCCCCUGCUGGGCUCGGGGACCAGCAGUCCCCAGGAUGCCUGGCCAGGGUCAGGAGCCUUACACAGGCAGAGUUAGCAGCUGCAGGGCUCCGCUCCCCUGGGUUUCCUUCAGGGGAGCACGGCACCAUUUUCCCACCAGCCUCGCAGGUAAACACCCAACCAUCCCCAUCCCUCCAGCCUGGAAAAGGAGAGAAAACUGUCGCCCAUCUCCUACGCGAGGAGGUGGUGGGCUGAUCCACCAGCAGGAUUAAUGGGCCACUGGUGUGGCAGAGCUGUCAGCAGGCUGUGAGCUGGGACGUGCCCAGCCCCCAGAGCGAUGUCACCAAAGCCACCUUCUGCUCCCAUUUCGGCUGGAGUAAAGGAAAGUGGCUCGCUGGCCAAGAGCCAGGGCCGGGCUGUAAGGAUGCAAAAUGCCGUACGGUCCCCUUCAGGGUAUUGCAGCGAUGGGAAUUGCCGGUGCCAGGAUCAACAGAGAAAGUUUUAUAGCUGUAGGUGCUAAAGUUUAAGGCUUUGAACCCACACACACUCAGGCCUUUGUUCAACGUUUGGCCUUGGUUUACCCUGCGAAAUUACAAGUGGCUGCCGGGCCCGGGGGCGAGCACAGAAAGCAAAAAGCGUGGAGCAGGAGCACGAGGAGGGAGCACGGCCCCGCGGCACCCCGUGUCCUGCCCGGAUUGCUGCUGCUGGGGGGCAGCGGGGUCCUCACGCCCUGAGGCCAAGGGCCGGGAGCUGCAGCUCCGGGGGGCACGGGGCAGGGGGGGGCUCUCGGGGCUUCCUCGGCAGCGAGGGGGGCGAGCCCGGCACGGGGCGCUCGGAGCGCACGGGUCGGGUGUGCGGAGCGUGGCUGGGGAGGGAU